CGCCAGACUCCUACGGGAGGCAGCAGUGGGGAAUAUUGCACAAUGGGGGGAACCCUGAUGCAGCGACGCCGCGUGAGUGAAGAAGUAUUUCGGUAUGUAAAGCUCUAUCAGCAGGGACGAAAAUGACGGUACCUGAGUAAGAAGCCCCGGCUAACUACGUGCCAGCAGCCGCGGUAAUACGUAGGGGGCAAGCGUUAUCCGGAUUUACUGGGUGUAAAGGGAGCGUAGACGGUUAUGCAAGUCUGGAGUGAAAGGCGGGGGCUCAACCCCCGGACUGCUCUGGAAACUGUAGAACUAGAGUGCAGGAGGGGUAAGUGGAAUUCCUAGUGUAGCGGUGAAAUGCGUAGAUAUUAGGAGGAACACCAGUGGCGAAGGCGGCUUACUGGACUGUAACUGACGUUGAGGCUCGAAAGCGUGGGGAGCAAACAGGAUUAGAUACCCGGGUA
This 446-nucleotide ribosomal RNA is filed under the name uncultured bacterium. RNAcentral describes it as "bacterial SSU rRNA". It matches the Rfam family "Bacterial small subunit ribosomal RNA", at positions 329 to 792 of the family's 1533-position model. The record is from RNAcentral.